UACACCCCUCAAGCCCUCGUGGCUUGGUGUUGGGGCACUAGGGAAACCUAGGCCCUCAAAAAUAUUGCGCGGUCCGCGCGUUCAGGACCCGAGCACAGUAACUUUGGUUAAAGCUGCUAUGGGACACUGCGCGAUGGUGCUAGCCGUAAAAACCCCGACAUAGGCCCUUUGGGCCGCCUAA
This 181-nucleotide unclassified non-coding RNA is filed under the name uncultured Ascomycota. RNAcentral describes it as "sequence contains ITS2". The record is from RNAcentral. RNAcentral also lists the same sequence under 1 other name. Lineage: Eukaryota; Fungi; Ascomycota.